This 544-nucleotide long non-coding RNA is filed under the name Callithrix jacchus (white-tufted-ear marmoset). RNAcentral's name for it is "lncRNA (ENSCJAG00000077254.1)". Lineage: Eukaryota; Metazoa; Chordata; Mammalia; Primates; Cebidae. The record is from RNAcentral.
UACGGUAAUAUUACACCAAGAUCUAGUACCACCCAACAAAAGCACUCUUUGAAUCCUCUCACGCUGAAUUGACUUUACAGUCUUCCUUCUUCUCUCUAGGUCUUGAAGACUCACAGUAAUAGAAAGAGUCCUAAGAUGUGUAUUCAAGAUUCAGUUUGCUAUUUGCUAGAUACCACUGUUCAUGUUGGGAGUAACAGGGAAAACAUCUCCAGUGGGCAGUGGUAGGACUUCCAGAGUACUGAAAACAGAGAGUUCCAUCAGAGUCCUUCAACCUCCGAAGCAAGGGGACAUUUGCAUCCCUCAUCUCAUGUCUUCUGCAAGGGAUUUACCUCAGUGGAAGGUUCAAAUUCACCAGUAACUAUCUUCUCAGCAUUCUAAAAUCUUUCACUCUAAAGGUCAGAUAUUAAACAAAAUUAAAUAUUUUGUUCUCUUCUACCCUCUUCAGAGGCCAAGCAUUUCACUGAAGACUGCUGGCAACCAGGAGUCAGAGCACAUUAUCUGUUAUUAGCACAGAGCUAGUUGUUGCUUGGGGCUGCAGGAGAAA